Oryzias melastigma (Indian medaka) is the source of this 1294-nucleotide long non-coding RNA. RefSeq lists it as uncharacterized. The record is from RefSeq and is a predicted model, not a curated record. The transcript has 3 exons. NCBI's taxonomy places the organism in Eukaryota, Metazoa, Chordata, Actinopteri, Beloniformes, Adrianichthyidae.
UAGCGUUGAGCAAACAAGAUGUCCACAGGAUGUAAAAACUUACAUAGUAUUUCAUACAUUUAGCUAAUCUAAAUUAAAUACAUGCUAAUUAAGUAAUCCGUACUUUAAAAAAUUCUUUUUUAUUUGCUCUUUUUCCCUCUGUCCUCAGCAGUCUCACACUGCUGGGUUUUGUUAUUUUAGUUUGGGUUUGGUAGUCUUAGUUUGCAGCUUUGUUUAUUUGUUUUCUUUAGGUAGGAGCUGCUGACUCAGGCGGUCGACUCAUCUAAUGUUUGUCCGAGGAGCCGCUAUGGAGAGCUGAGAGAGCCACAUGUGGGUCUGGAGCUGCAGGUUGCAGACGGAAAAGCAAACAACAUCCUCAUGCUGGACAUUCCCGGUUGGAUCUCGGAUGAUCCUCGCUAACGCGUGAGAGCGGCGUUUGCUCCUGUGGGGUCACUUGGUCAGAAGGUCAAACCACAGCAGUAACAUUAAAAGUCAAGGAAACAUCAACAAGCUGUAAACAGUGUUGUCCGACCCUCUCCGUUCCAGGAUUCACUUCCAAUUUUGAGGCUCCAUUCCCCCAUUUUUGCUGCACUCUCCAAGUUCUGUAAUCCAACACUCUGAAGGUGUUGAAGCCGAACCCCUCACCAUGACAACCACGAUGGCAGUGGCUAAAACAACAACAAACCGGAUAAUAAAAGUAAAAAUAUUUAAAGGUGGACCUGGAGUUGUACCUCGGGUUGGACCCUCCUGCUCCGUCUCCAGCAGCACCCCCGGAGGAGGCUAAACCCACAGCAGGUUGAAGAGGUCCCGUCUUCCCACAUAGCACGUCUGCCCCAUGCUGUCACAUCCACAGCACUUCCACCUCGAGACACUUCCUCCAGGAAGAAAAGGCUUCCAGAACGGAACAGAUAGAUGAUGCUGUUGCUCUCAUCAAAUCAUACAAGUGGUGCUCAGGUGGGACUCAUCUGUGGACCCAUCCUGAGCUGGAGACAGAGCAGCGGGGGCCUGGCUCUUGGUUUCCUGUCAAAGAUGCUUCUGGAGGGACAGGUGCUGUAGAUAAACAUCCCGCCGCGCUCCCAGGUGGGCUCUUCACAGGACCGAGGAAGCCAGACGAGCAGGAGGCGCAGCACUAAUGGGCCUCCCAUGUGGCUCCACAGACUUUCCUCCGGCUUCACACUUGCCACUGUAUCCUGGAGACAUCGCCAGGGGAUGUGGAACCCCCACCUCCCCUCCCAUCUCUCGUGCUUUACACAGCCACAGCCGGCUGAGGGAAGCUUCAGUCUUGCUGACGAUUGGCUGCCCCCCCUCCCCGACU